ACAACAGAGACAGAGAUUGAAUGAUACAGCCAUAAGCCAAGGAGCCCCAAGAAUUGCUGGGGACCACCAGAAGCUAGGAUCAGUCAAAGACGGAUUCCUCUCUAGAACCUUCAGAGGUAGACAGGCCCUCUUGGACUUCUAGCUUACAAAAUGGUGGAGAAACAGGAGUGGGAAAGGCCCGGAGAAGGCAAGAGGAAAACAAGAAGAAAAUGAUGCUUCUGAAACCAAAGAACAAGAGGUGUGAGGAAGAAUGAUCACAUCAACAGAAAAUACUAAGGGGUCAAAAAAUUAAAGCUGAAAAAAACGUG
Long non-coding RNA from Herpailurus yagouaroundi (jaguarundi), 308 nucleotides. RefSeq lists it as uncharacterized. NCBI's taxonomy places the organism in Eukaryota, Metazoa, Chordata, Mammalia, Carnivora, Felidae. The record is from RefSeq and is a predicted model, not a curated record. The transcript is spliced from 2 exons.